AUUGAACGCUAACGGCGUGCUUAACACAUGCAAGUCGAGCGGCAGCACAGUAGUAGCAAUACUAUGGGUGGCGAGCGGCGGACGGGUGAGUAAUGCAUAGGAAUCUGCCUUGUAGUGGGGGAUAACCCGGGGAAACUCGGGCUAAUACCGCAUAAUCUCUACGGAGCAAAGUGGGGGACCGUAAGGCCUCACGCUAAAGGAUGAGCCUAUGUUGGAUUAGCUAGUUGGUAGGGUAAAGGCCUACCAAGGCAACGAUCCAUAGCUGGUCUGAGAGGAUGAUCAGCCACACUGGGACUGAGACACGGCCCAGACUCCUACGGGAGGCAGCAGUGGGGAAUAUUGGACAAUGGGCGAAAGCCUGAUCCAGCAACGCCGUGUGUGUGAAGAAGGCCUUCGGGUUGUAAAGCACUUUUAGUUGGGAAGAAAAGCUCAAGACUAAUACCCUUGAGUGAUGACGUUACCAACAGAAAAAGCACUGGCUAACUCUGUGCCAGCCGCCGCGGUAA
This 506-nucleotide ribosomal RNA is filed under the name uncultured bacterium. Its description in RNAcentral is "partial 16S ribosomal RNA". It matches the Rfam family "Bacterial small subunit ribosomal RNA", at positions 30 to 523 of the family's 1533-position model. The record is from RNAcentral.